AUGCAGACAGUUCCAGGCUUCCCUUUCCAGCCCCUGAAGGGUCUUUGCAAAUAUCUUUCAUUUUAUGUCCAAUAUCCCCUAAAAUACAUAUGGGUGUCACAUCAACCCAUACAGAACACCAAGAUCUCACCUCCUACUCUAGGUCACACUAGAAAGAGCAAAGCACCUCAAAAUUCAGAAAUAACAACCAAACCCAGGAACAAAUGUGACUGCCGCAAGAGCUCACAAUCUAGGCCCUAAUUCCUGUAUGUGAGAGCUUUUUCCAAACAAAAGUUACUUCCCCAAACAAAAACAUUUAACAAUCAAAACUCAUAUUGAGGUCAUCAACCCCCGACCACAGCAGAAACGUAGUGUAGGUGAGGACAGAGUGUAGACAGAGAAAAAGGGAAAACAAGAGGCUCUCUGGUUUCAGCUUCUCCAGGGUGUCACCAAUCUCCAUCACUGGACCAGGACCCGCUGCGGAAACCUAGGGCACAAACGGGAGACACGCAUCAGAGAGGUCAACGCGGGGGGGACGCAAAGCCCACCACGCAGGUCGCCCCUCUCGGGAAGCCGCCUGACUCAUCCCGGCCUUCGGGUGCCGCAGGUCGUUUAUUUCGCAGUCGCUCCCGCGGGUGCGACCGGGCGGACACCGAGCCGGCCUCCCGCGCAGCAUCGCCCCUACGUCCCCGGCCGCGCGGCCCCCGCGCCCACGUGGCCGCGCCCGCUCACCGCCGUCACGCCGACUCGCCCUUCUCUAUCCGCCGCACC
Molecule: long non-coding RNA, 750 nt
Filed under: Ictidomys tridecemlineatus (thirteen-lined ground squirrel)
Lineage: Eukaryota; Metazoa; Chordata; Mammalia; Rodentia; Sciuridae
Description: lncRNA (ENSSTOG00000032689.1)
Source: RNAcentral